UAGGGAAUCUUCGGCAAUGGACGAAAGUCUGACCGAGCAACGCCGCGUGAGUGAAGAAGGUUUUCGGAUCGUAAAACUCUGUUGUUAGAGAAGAACAAGGACGUUAGUAACUGAACGUCCCCUGGCGGUAUCUAACCAGAAAGCCACGGCUAACUACGUGCCAGCAGCCGCGGUAAUACGUAGGUGGCAAGCGUUGUCCGGAAUUACUGGGCGUAAAGCGCACGCAGGCGGUCUGUCAAGUCGGAUGUGAAAUCCCCGGGCUUAACCUGGGAACUGCAUUCGAAACUGGCAGGCUAGAGUCUUGUAGAGGGGGGUAGAAUUCCAGGUGUAGCGGUGAAAUGCGUAGAGAUCUGGAGGAAUACCGGUGGCGAAGGCGGCCCCCUGGACAAAGACUGACGCUCAGGUGCGAAAGCGUGGGGAGCAAACAGG
This 429-nucleotide ribosomal RNA is filed under the name Chloroflexota bacterium. RNAcentral describes it as "Chloroflexi bacterium partial 16S ribosomal RNA". It matches the Rfam family "Bacterial small subunit ribosomal RNA", at positions 355 to 776 of the family's 1533-position model. The record is from RNAcentral. Lineage: Bacteria; Bacillati; Chloroflexota.